UUAAGCGACUAAGCGUACACGGUGGAUGCCCUGGCAGUCAGAGGCGAUGAAGGACGUGCUAAUCUGCGAAAAGCGCCGGCGAGGUGAUAUGAACCUUUGACCCGGCGAUGUCCGAAUGGGGAAACCCAGUGUGUUUCGACACACUAUCAUUAACUGAAUCCAUAGGUUAAUGAGGCGAACCGGGGGAACUGAAACAUCUAAGUACCCCGAGGAAAAGAAAUCAACCGAGAUUCCCCCAGUAGCGGCGAGCGAACGGGGAGCAGCCCAGAGCCUGAAUCAGCUUGUGUGUUAGUGGAAGCGUCUGGAAAGUCGCGCGAUACAGGGUGACAGCCCCGUACACGAAAGCACACAGGCUGUGAGCUCGAUGAGUAGGGCGGGACACGUGGUAUCCUGUCUGAAUAUGGGGGGACCAUCCUCCAAGGCUAAAUACUCCUGACUGACCGAUAGUGAACCAGUACCGUGAGGGAAAGGCGAAAAGAACCCCGGCGAGGGGAGUGAAAAAGAACCUGAAACCGUGUACGUACAAGCAGUGGGAGCACCUUCGUGGUGUGACUGCGUACCUUUUGUAUAAUGGGUCAGCGACUUAUAUUCUGUAGCAAGGUUAACCGAAUAGGGGAGCCGAAGGGAAACCGAGUCUUAACUGGGCGUUAAGUUGCAGGGUAUAGACCCGAAACCCGGUGAUCUAGCCAUGGGCAGGUUGAAGGUUGGGUAACACUAACUGGAGGACCGAACCGACUAAUGUUGAAAAAUUAGCGGAUGACUUGUGGCUGGGGGUGAAAGGCCAAUCAAACCGGGAGAUAGCUGGUUCUCCCCGAAAGCUAUUUAGGUAGCGCCUCGUGAAUUCAUCUCCGGGGGUAGAGCACUGUUUCGGCUAGGGGGCCAUCCCGGCUUACCAACCCGAUGCAAACUACGAAUACCGGAGAAUGUUAUCACGGGAGACACACGGCGGGUGCUAACGUCCGUCGUGAAGAGGGAAACAACCCAGACCGCCAGCUAAGGUCCCAAAGUCAUGGUUAAGUGGGAAACGAUGUGGGAAGGCACAGACAGCCAGGAUGUUGGCUUAGAAGCAGCCAUCAUUUAAAGAAAGCGUAAUAGCUCACUGGUCGAGUCGGCCUGCGCGGAAGAUGUAACGGGGCUAAACCAUGCACCGAAGCUGCGGCAGCGACACUAUGUGUUGUUGGGUAGGGGAGCGUUCUGUAAGCCUGCGAAGGUGUGCUGUGAGGCAUGCUGGAGGUAUCAGAAGUGCGAAUGCUGACAUAAGUAACGAUAAAGCGGGUGAAAAGCCCGCUCGCCGGAAGACCAAGGGUUCCUGUCCAACGUUAAUCGGGGCAGGGUGAGUCGACCCCUAAGGCGAGGCCGAAAGGCGUAGUCGAUGGGAAACAGGUUAAUAUUCCUGUACUUGGUGUUACUGCGAAGGGGGGACGGAGAAGGCUAUGUUAGCCGGGCGACGGUUGUCCCGGUUUAAGCAUGUAGGCUGAUUAUCCAGGCAAAUCCGGAUAAUCAAGGCUGAGGUGUGAUGACGAGUCACUACGGUGAUGAAGUAACAAAUGCCCUGCUUCCAGGAAAAGCCUCUAAGCAUCAGGUAACACGAAAUCGUACCCCAAACCGACACAGGUGGUCAGGUAGAGAAUACCAAGGCGCUUGAGAGAACUCGGGUGAAGGAACUAGGCAAAAUGGUGCCGUAACUUCGGGAGAAGGCACGCUGAUAUGUAGGUGAAGUCCCUGCGGACGGAGCUGAAAUCAGUCGAAGAUACCAGCUGGCUGCAACUGUUUAUUAAAAACACAGCACUGUGCAAACACGAAAGUGGACGUAUACGGUGUGACGCCUGCCCGGUGCCGGAAGGUUAAUUGAUGGGGUUAUCCGUAAGGAGAAGCUCUUGAUCGAAGCCCCGGUAAACGGCGGCCGUAACUAUAACGGUCCUAAGGUAGCGAAAUUCCUUGUCGGGUAAGUUCCGACCUGCACGAAUGG
This 1969-nucleotide ribosomal RNA is filed under the name human gut metagenome. Its description in RNAcentral is "bacterial LSU rRNA". It matches the Rfam family "Bacterial large subunit ribosomal RNA", at positions 1 to 1999 of the family's 2925-position model. The record is from RNAcentral.